RNAcentral lists this ribosomal RNA (834 nucleotides) under Planctomycetota bacterium. RNAcentral describes it as "bacterial LSU rRNA". It matches the Rfam family "Bacterial large subunit ribosomal RNA", at positions 2090 to 2925 of the family's 2925-position model. The record is from RNAcentral. Lineage: Bacteria; Pseudomonadati; Planctomycetota.
CCCAUGAACCUUUACUGUAGGCUGAUAUUGGGUUGAGGUAUGUUCUGUGCAGAAUAGCUGGGAGGCUUUGAACCGGGGACGCUAGUCUCUGGGGAGCCAUCGUUGAGAUACCAGCCUGGAUAUGCUUUAAUUCUAACUUUGACCCGUGAAUCCGGGCUUAGAACAGUGUCAGUUGGGCAGUUUGACUGGGGCGGUCUCCUCCUAAAGAGUAACGGAGGAGCGCAAUGGUACACUCAGCCUGGUCGGCAAUCAGGCAAAGAGCGUAAAGGUAGAAGUGUGCUUGACUGCGAGACAAAUAAGUCGAGCAGGUACGAAAGUAGGUCUUAGUGAUCCGGUGAUUCCGAAUGGAAGGGUCAUCGCUCAUCAGAUAAAAGGUACUCUGGGGAUAACAGGCUGAUACCGCCCAAGAGUUCAUAUCGACGGCGGUGUUUGGCACCUCGAUGUCGGCUCAUCGCAUCCUGGGGGUGAAGAAGCUCCCAAGGGUUUGGCUGUUCGCCAAUGAAAGCGGUACGUGAGCUGGGUUCAGACCGUCGUGAGACAGGUCGGUCCCUAUCUACCGUGGGCGUACGAAACUUGAGAAGGGUCAACCUUAGUACGAGAGGAUUUGGUUGGACAUAGCUCUGGUGUCCCAGUUGUCACGCUAGUGGCACGGCUGGAUAGCUAACUAUGGAAAGGAUAAACGCUGAAAGCAUCUAAGCGUGAAGCCCUCUUCAAGACUAGGUUUCGUAGCAGUAAUGCGAAAGUCCCCUGGUAGACCACCAGGUUGAUAGGCUGGAUGUGUAAGCACGGUAACGUGUUGAGCUAACCAGUACUAACGGACGAACGCUUGACCAU